AUGGUGUUCAUCACAUCCCCGAACCACAAAACCCUAAACCUGAAUCUCAACCCGAAAACCACCACCCUCGAAACCCUAAAGCUCCAAAUCGAACAAACCUCCCACAUCCCCAUCUCCCAGCAGCGCCUCUUCAUCUCCCAAAGCCUCCAACUCCUCACCCAAUCCGACUCCACCCUCCUCUCCGACCUCAACAUCUCCCCCCUCUCAACCCUAACCCUCCACAUCCCCCUCUUCGGCGGCACCCAACCCCCGCCGUCCCCAAACCCCGCCUCGAUUUCCUCAACUCCAAGCCCCCCGCCAACUAUGUCGCCGGUCUCGGCCGUGGCGCCACCGGCUUCACCACCCGUUCCGAUAUCGGACCUGCCCGCGCCGCUCCUGACUUGCCCGAUCGCUCCGCCACGACUAUCGGCGGGGCUGCCGGGGCUGCUCCGCCUGGGGCGGGGCGUGGCCGCGGGAAGCCGGAGGAGGAGGAGGAAGACGACGGCGAGGAGAAAGGCUACGAUGAGAAUCAGAAGUUUGAUGAGUUCGAAGGAAACGACGUCGGUUUGUUCGCGUCGGCGGAGUACGACGACGAGGACAAGGAGGCCGACGCUGUGUGGGAGGCGAUUGAGCAGAGGAUGGACUCGAGGAGGAAGGACAGGAGGGAAGCGAGGUUGAAGCAAGAGAUUGAGAAGUACAGAGCUUCAAAUCCCAAAAUCACGGAGCAGUUUGCGAAUUUGAAGAGGCAGCUGUAUACUGUUUCGGCUGAGGAAUGGGAUAAGAUACCGGACAUUGGGGAUUAUUCGGCCAGGAACAAGAAGAGGAAGUUUGAGAGCUUUGUGCCGGUGCCGGAUACUCUUUUCGAGAAGGCUAGGCAGGAACAGGAGCAUGUUACUGCAUUGGACCCCAAGAGUAGGGCGGCCACUGGUACAGAGACGCCGUGGUCGCAAACGCCGGUUACAGAUUUGACCGCAGUUGGUGAUGGCAGGAGUACUGUGUUGUCUUUGAAAUUAGAUAGGCUUUCGGAUUCUGUUUCAGGGCUGACAGUCGUGGACCCUAAGGGGUAUCUUACUGAUCUUAAGAGUAUGAAGAUUACUAGUGAUGCGGAGAUUUCGGAUAUAAAGAAGGCUAGGUUGUUGCUCAAGAGUGUGACACAGACUAAUCCGAAGCAUCCACCUGGUUGGAUUGCGGCUGCGAGGUUGGAGGAAGUGGCGGGGAAGAUACAGGCAGCAAGGCAAUUGAUCCAGAAAGGGUGUGAGGAAUGUCCCAAGAGUGAGGAUGUUUGGUUGGAGGCAUGUCGGCUUGCCAGUCCUGACGGAGCCAAGGCUGUGAUUGCUGCUGGAGUAAAGUCAAUACCCAAUUCAGUCAAGCUGUGGAUGCAGGCGGCGAAAUUGGAGCAUGAUGACUCGAAUAAGAGUAGGGUGUUGAGGAAAGGGUUGGAACACAUUCCUGAUUCUGUUAGGCUAUGGAAGGCGGUGGUGGAGCUGGCGAAUGAGGAGGAUGCCAGACUUUUGCUUCAUAGGGCUGUGGAGUGUUGUCCCUUGCACAUAGAGUUGUGGCUUGCUCUAGCGAGAUUGGAGACUUAUGACAAUGCCAAGAAGGUCCUUAACAAGGCCCGGGAGAAGCUUUCAAAAGAGCCUGCCAUUUGGAUUACUGCAGCAAAGUUGGAAGAAGCUAAUGGGAAUACAUCAGUUGGGAAGAUUAUUGAAAGGGGUAUAAGGGCUCUGCAAAGAGAGGGAUUGGUGAUUGAUAGAGAAGCAUGGAUGAAGGAGGCUGAAGCUGCCGAGCGUGCAGGGUCUGUGGCAACUUGCCAAGCCAUUAUUCGGAACACUAUUGGGAUUGGCGUGGAGGAAGAAGAUAGGAAGAGGACAUGGGUUGCUGAUGCAGAGGAGUGCAAGAAACGUGGUUCCAUUGAAACAGCCAGAGCUAUCUAUGCUCAUGCACUUACUGUCUUCUUAAGUAAGAAGAGCAUAUGGCUUAAAGCAGCACAGCUCGAAAAGAGUCAUGGAACUAGGGAAUCUCUUGAUGCCCUGCUUCGUAAAGCAGUUACCUACCGACCACAGGCGGAAGUCUUAUGGCUUAUGGGUGCGAAGGAGAAGUGGCUUGCUGGGGACGUAUUUAAUGCCCGUAAAAUCCUCGAAGAAGCUUAUGCUGCCAUUCCGAAUUCUGAAGAGAUUUGGCUUGCUGCAUUUAAGCUUGAAUUUGAGAAUCAUGAACCUGAGAGAGCUAGGUUGCUUCUUGCUAAAGCCCGAGAAAAGGGAGGAACAGAGAGAGUAUGGAUGAAAUCAGCAAUCGUCGAAAGAGAAUUAGGGAACCUCGAUGAGGAGAGGAAGUUGCUUGCUGAAGGAUUGAAACGCUUCCCUUCGUUCUUUAAAUUGUGGUUGAUGCUUGGACAGCUAGAGGAACGGCUUAACCAUUUGGACAAAGCCAAGGAGACUUAUGACUCGGGUCUUAAGCACUGCUCCAAUUCUAUACCACUCUGGCUUUCUCUUGCAAAUCUUGAAGAGAAGAUGAAUGGGCUGAGUAAAGCUCGUGCAGUUCUUACGAUGGCCAGGAAGAAGAAUCCUCAGAACCCUGAACUGUGGCUUGCUGCUGUUCGAGCUGAAUUGAGGCAUGGUAAUAAGAAGGAAGCUGAUAUUUUGAUGGCAAAGGCCUUGCAGGAGUGUCCCAAUAGUGGUAUCUUGUGGGCAGCUUCUAUUGAGAUGGUACCGCGUCCCCAAAGGAAGACCAAAAGUAUGGAUGCCCUCAAGAAAUGUGAUCACGAUCCCCAUGUCAUUGCUGCUGUGGCCAAGUUAUUCUGGCUCGACAGGAAGGUUGACAAAGCUAGGACUUGGCUCAACAGGGCAGUGACACUUGCCCCAGAUAUUGGAGAUUUCUGGGCUUUAUACUACAAAUUUGAACUUCAGAAUGGGACUGACGAGAACCAGAAGGAUGUACUAAAACGAUGCAUUGCUGCAGAACCAAAGCAUGGUGAAAAAUGGCAACCUAUUUCAAAGGCAGUGGAGAACUCUCACCAACCAACAGAGGCUAUCUUGAAGAAGGUAGUUGUUGCCCUUGGCAAGGAAGAGAGUGCAGCUGAAAAUAAUAGACAGUAGGUCUGGCAGUCUGGCUUGUCAAUUCCAGGUUAGGUUUUAGUUAUUUAAUGAGUUUUUAGCAAUGACAAAUCGAUGUGGAGUUUUACAUCAUAUCCUGCGAGAAAAAGUUACUCUACUAUUACUCAUUUUCUCUGUAUUACUCAUUUAAUCUUUACUUCUUUCUAUGAAUAUUAUAUCGGUUAAUAGUUGGAUGAUGAAGCUUUUCUUUAAUUAUUGUUUGAAAUACGAUGCACUUGUGCAUGUUCUUUUGUAUCUGC
RNA transcript from Fragaria vesca subsp. vesca, 3331 nucleotides. It is a transcript of the gene named pre-mRNA-processing factor 6-like, with no coding region annotated. The record is from RefSeq and is a predicted model, not a curated record. The transcript has a single exon. NCBI's taxonomy places the organism in Eukaryota, Viridiplantae, Streptophyta, Magnoliopsida, Rosales, Rosaceae.